This 936-nucleotide long non-coding RNA is filed under the name Danio rerio (zebrafish). Its description in RNAcentral is "lncRNA (ENSDARG00000117321.1)". Lineage: Eukaryota; Metazoa; Chordata; Actinopteri; Cypriniformes; Danionidae. The record is from RNAcentral.
UUUGCUUCUCUACGCCAGCGCUUUUAUCAGCGUCAUCACGCAACGAGCUGACGCAGAUCCUCUCCGCGCGAAAUUUUGAGAGUUCCGUUGAGAACAAAACAAGAGCGCGAAGCAGCAGCUGCAGCAGCACCGCGCGCCGGUUCCGCUUCACAGCCGUAAAACUACCAACUGCAUCACGAUGGCGGAGCUCGGCUGCUACUCUCCCAGCUUCAAGAAACCGUCCGAGGUGCUGCGCAUGCGGAGGCAGCGGGCGCGGAGUGAAGGACCAGGCGGGAAAGUGUCGAGUCCAGCGCUAUCCGGGCUCCGGCCGUUUUCCCCGGGGCCGCUGCUCACCGCUCCGGGACGCGGUAACGGCGGAGUCAAGCGGAGAAACCCGUUCGCUAGCAUCGAGAACACCUACAGCAGCCCGAAGAAGAGGGCUUUAAUACAGGAGGAUGGUAGAAAGAGCUCAGCCGCGGGUCCAGACGAGAAACUCCGAGAAGAACCGAAAACCGGAGCUUUACUGCGGGAGGAGCUGCUGCACACUGACCGACUCAAACAACAGCACACACAGGCAGCGGUGUCUCUCUCUGAAGCUGACGGUGUGUUUGAGGAUGAUCUGUUUGAUCCGCAGAGCUCCGCUGCGGUGCUGAAGAGUCCAGAGGCACUCCGUGACUCUUCUCCGUCUGAGGUGUGUGUGGAGUAUCCGGCUGACUGGUCUCUGAAAACGCGUCUGCUGUUCACGUCUCCUCAGUCGUUCUCCUGGGCUGAGCAUCUGAAGGCGCAGGAGGAGGCGCAGGGCUUGAGUUCUCACUGCAGAGCCCAGUUCAGCAACAUUCCUGCUCACAUACCGGUAUAUAUAUACACACACACACACACACACACACACAAAAUAUAUACACACACACACACAAUAUAUAUAUAUAUAUACACACACACACACACACACACAAAAUA